RNAcentral lists this ribosomal RNA (253 nucleotides) under uncultured bacterium. Its description in RNAcentral is "partial 16S ribosomal RNA". It matches the Rfam family "Bacterial small subunit ribosomal RNA", at positions 524 to 776 of the family's 1533-position model. The record is from RNAcentral.
UACGGAGGGUGCAAGCGUUGCUCGGAAUUACUGGGCGUAAAGCGGACGCAGGCGGUUCGCCAAGUCGGUUGUGAAAGCCCCAGGCUCAACCUGGGAACUGCGACCGAAACUGGCGGACUUGAGUUCGGGAGAGGGAAGUGGAAUUCCUGGUGUAGAGGUGAUAUUCGUUGAUAUCAGGAGGAACACCGGCGGCGAAGGCGACUUCCUGGCCCGAUACUGACGCUCAUGUCCGAAAGCGUGGGGAGCAAACAGG